This 392-nucleotide ribosomal RNA is filed under the name uncultured bacterium. RNAcentral describes it as "partial 16S ribosomal RNA". It matches the Rfam family "Bacterial small subunit ribosomal RNA", at positions 523 to 918 of the family's 1533-position model. The record is from RNAcentral.
AUACGGAGGAUCCGAGCGUUAUCCGGAUUUAUUGGGUUUAAAGGGUGCGCAGGCGGCCAUUUAAGUCAGCGGUUAAAUCGUGGGGCUCAACCCCAUUCUGCCGUUGAUACUGGGUGGCUUGAUUGCGGUCGAGGUUGGCGGAAUUCGUUGUGUAGCGGUGAAAUGCAUAGAUAUGACGAAGAACACCGAUUGCGUAGGCAGCUGACCAGACCGCAAAUGACGCUCAUGCACGAAAGUGCGGGGAUCUAACAGGAUUAGAUACCCUGGUAGUCCGCACAGUAAACGAUGAAUACUUGUUUUCGGCGAUAUAAUGUCGGAGGCAAAGCGAAAGCGAUAAGUAUUCCACCUGGGGAGUACGCCGGCAACGGUGAAACUCAAAGGAAUUGACGGGG